AGAAAUUGAAACAUGCAAUUCCAAUAAGAGAGAAAAAUAAAAUACUUAAAUAACAGGAAUCUAGAGACCCAAAACCAUUCCAGAUAGAAAAAGUCCACGAAUAAUCCCCCAGCCAUUGUACCAGUUUUUCCCUAGGUGAUGAAAUAAAUGUAGGGGAGGACAAAAGAGCCAAGUAGCUCGUCCACACGGCCAUGGACAGCUAGGGCUUGUUUUGGAACGAGUCCGAGCCCACACGAGCAACUUCUGGUCCAUGUGCCUAAAGUUCUCGAGCCCCUUAAAAAAAAUGUGAACAAAAAGGUAAAAAGAAAACUAAUAAAAAAAUCUCAAGCUCGUGGGAGCUCGGCUCUUGCUUGAACAAGCUUGAGCUCAGCUCGCACUUUAACGAGCCGAGCCCAUCCUUAGAUAAAUGUAAAGUGAGAUUACCUAGUACCUACCCUUUAAUUCAUCCUGCCAAUCUUGAUAGCCUUGUGCACAUCCCAGUAAACUGCUAACUGACAAGCCUAAAGACCUUGGGUCCCACCUUUUGGUGCUGUACAAACAGCUUAUUCCAAAGACCUUUAACUUUGCAUACAUACAUGACAAAAGUAGGUUCUCGGUCAACAUCAGCUAGCUUCAAUUAUAGCUUCCAUGGCGCAAAAUAUAGAGGCUGAACCAUAAAUAUACCAC
Molecule: long non-coding RNA, 666 nt
Filed under: Olea europaea subsp. europaea
Lineage: Eukaryota; Viridiplantae; Streptophyta; Magnoliopsida; Lamiales; Oleaceae
Source: RNAcentral